CAUGUGGUUUAAUUCGAUACAACACGCAAAACCUUACCAGCCCUUGACAUAUGAACAACAAAUCAUAUCCUUAACAGGAUGGUACUGACUUUCAUACAGGUGCUGCAUGGCUUUCGUCAGCUCGUGUCGUGAGAUGUUUGGUCAAGUCCUAUAACGAGCGAAACCCUCGUUUUGUGUUGCUGAGACAUGCGCCUAAGGAGAAAUUGCCACCGAGUGACGUGCUAGCGCUGUUUUUCUCGCUUUUGGCGUAGCAGGCCUCCCUUUGGGAGGCCCGCGCG
Molecule: non-coding RNA, 278 nt
Filed under: Triticum aestivum (bread wheat)
Lineage: Eukaryota; Viridiplantae; Streptophyta; Magnoliopsida; Poales; Poaceae
Description: Bacterial small subunit ribosomal RNA
Rfam family: Bacterial small subunit ribosomal RNA
Source: Rfam by way of RNAcentral